Molecule: long non-coding RNA, 249 nt
Organism: Stylophora pistillata
Lineage: Eukaryota; Metazoa; Cnidaria; Anthozoa; Scleractinia; Pocilloporidae
Source: RefSeq, a predicted model, not a curated record
UGCCAUCGAUCACCAUGCCAAAACAACGGCACUUGCCAGUCGGGAUUUACAAAAAAACGAUAUCGAUGUUUGUGUGCGUCUGGAUUUACUGGCCACGAUUGUGAAGAGGACAGCGACGAGUGUGUUACAAGAACCCACAGCUGCGGCAAGAACGCCAACUGCACAAACACCAAGGGAUCUUACAGCUGCUCUUGUAAUCCUGGAUUCGGCUGGGAUAUAGACAAGUGCACAGACAUCGACGAGUGUGAU